RNAcentral lists this transfer RNA (64 nucleotides) under Nectonemertes cf. mirabilis HC-2011. RNAcentral describes it as "tRNA-Leu". Lineage: Eukaryota; Metazoa; Nemertea; Enopla; Monostilifera; Nectonemertidae. The record is from RNAcentral.
GUUACGUUGGCAGAAAAUUGUAUUUGUUUUAGGUACAAAAGAUGUAUUAUAUUUACACGUAAUU